GACACAGGUGGCGCUGCUGCGCUUCACUCGACUCAGAGAAUAAGCGAAUAACUGUAAACAACGUAAAUGCUAUCUGAGGUGGGCCAGGUGACUAGCACAAUGUCUAAAAAAAUAAACGUGGACAGUGAAUAUCAGCAAUUCCAACCAAGAUGGGAAACAGACAAUUUAUUCUAUCUCUUUCGUCCUCCUUUUCAACCUGCUUUGUGAAGAAGCAAGCAAUUACACAAUAAAUAACUCUGCUACACAAUAACAAUAACUCUAAAGGACAUCUAUGGAGAAAAGAGAGAGCUGUCUAAACGCUAACCGCCUGGAUAUCAGUCUGCUCUAAGCUAAUGAGAAAGAAGCAGCAUUCCUGAAAGACCCCAACAAAGCAAAGAACUCUGGGAAACAGGACCACAUGGAAUCCGAUAAACAUGAACUUCUGGAAUUCGGUACGUCAGGGUUCUGCUUGAGAGGACUAUUGGCCUAAAGUCUACUGUAUGCAGCUGCACAUUUUCCACUAAACAACAUGACCAACAACGCCUGUGGCACUGAUUCUUAUCUCAGCCGACCGUGCCAGCUUGUCUGAAGAUGACACUGGUGUUGUAACCAGCUCAGUCCUAAAUCUCCUCUGACACUUCAAUGAAACACAUAAAAUAUUGCAAGCACGGUCUAAUAAAUAUUUAUAUGCCAGAACUCAAUAGUCUUUUUUUUUGUGCAUUACAUGUAGGAUCUAAAAAUACAGGAAGCCUUGAACAGGAGAACAGGAAAAUUCCCAUUAAUCUGUACUACAAGCUACUGGUCUAUGACUUGCAUUAUGCAGCUGGCUGGACUUCCACUGGGAGGGAAAGAGUCUUGGCAUCAGGAUAUCAGGAUGUAGGCGGAGUCAAGAAAAGUGCUGUACCAUACUUUCACUGAGAAUCCACUCCAGCGGGAUAGUUCCAACAAGUCAUUCGCUAUAAGCGUGUUAUACACCCGAUGUAUACGGACUGCAUGUUGUCACAUGUAUGUUGAAUUUUCUUGCACUGACUUGCUUGUUUCCAAUGAAGAAUCAUUUUAAACAUUCACAUUGCAAAUUUGCAUGUCAUGUAAAUGCUAUCAAAUCGUCCACUGAUCUGUCUCUUAGAAUAAACUUCCUUUGAUUUACAAGAA
Long non-coding RNA from Tachysurus fulvidraco (yellow catfish), 1131 nucleotides. RefSeq lists it as uncharacterized. The record is from RefSeq and is a predicted model, not a curated record. NCBI's taxonomy places the organism in Eukaryota, Metazoa, Chordata, Actinopteri, Siluriformes, Bagridae. The transcript is spliced from 3 exons.